This 492-nucleotide ribosomal RNA is filed under the name uncultured bacterium. RNAcentral describes it as "partial 16S ribosomal RNA". It matches the Rfam family "Bacterial small subunit ribosomal RNA", at positions 30 to 507 of the family's 1533-position model. The record is from RNAcentral.
AUUGAACGCUGGCGGCAUGCUUUACACAUGCAAGUCGAACGGUAACAGGCCUUCGGGUGCUGACGAGUGGCGAACGGGUGAGUAAUGCAUCGGAACGUACCCAGUGGUGGGGGAUAACGCAGCGAAAGCUGUGCUAAUACCGCAUGUGAUCUGAGGAUGAAAGCGGGGGACCGAGCAGCAAUGUUUGGCCUCGCGCCUUUGGAGCGGCCGAUGUCGGAUUAGCUAGUUGGUGGGGUAAAGGCCUACCAAGGCGACGAUCCGUAGCUGGUCUGAGAGGACGACCAGCCACACUGGGACUGAGACACGGCCCAGACUCCUACGGGAGGCAGCAGUGGGGAAUUUUGGACAAUGGGCGCAAGCCUGAUCCAGCAAUGCCGCGUGCGGGAAGAAGGCCUUCGGGUUGUAAACCGCUUUUGGCAGGAACGAAACGGUGUCCGCUAAUACCGGGCGCUAAUGACGGUACCUGCAGAAUAAGCACCGGCUAACUACGUG